GUACUUCGUUGUAGACCUCAUGUA
This 24-nucleotide non-coding RNA is filed under the name Arabidopsis thaliana (thale cress). The record is from RNAcentral. Lineage: Eukaryota; Viridiplantae; Streptophyta; Magnoliopsida; Brassicales; Brassicaceae.